CAGCAGUGGGGAAUCUUAGACAAUGGGCGCAAGCCUGAUCUAGCCAUGCCGCGUGAGUGAAGAAGGCCUUAGGGUCGUAAAGCUCUUUCGCCUGUGAAGAUAAUGACUGUAGCAGGUAAAGAAACCCCGGCUAACUCCGUGCCAGCAGCCGCGGUAAUACGGAGGGGGUUAGCGUUGUUCGGAAUUACUGGGCGUAAAGCGCGCGUAGGCGGACAUUUAAGUCAGAGGUGAAAUCCCAGGGCUCAACCCUGGAACUGCCUUUGAUACUGGGUGUCUUGAGUUCGAGAGAGGUGAGUGGAAUUCCGAGUGUAGAGGUGAAAUUCGUAGAUAUUCGGAGGAACACCAGUGGCGAAGGCGGCUCACUGGCUCGAUACUGACGCUGAGGUGCGAAAGUGUGGGGAGCAAACAGGAUUAGAUACCCUGGUAGUCCACACCGUAAACGAUGAAUGCCAGUCGUCGGGCAGUAUACUGUUCGGUGACACACCUAAC
This 489-nucleotide ribosomal RNA is filed under the name uncultured Alphaproteobacteria bacterium. RNAcentral's name for it is "bacterial SSU rRNA". It matches the Rfam family "Bacterial small subunit ribosomal RNA", at positions 349 to 856 of the family's 1533-position model. Lineage: Bacteria; Pseudomonadati; Pseudomonadota; Alphaproteobacteria. The record is from RNAcentral.